UACGGGGGGAGCAAGCGUUGUUCGGAUUUACUGGGCGUAAAGGGCGCGUAGGCGGCCAGCGCAAGUCAGUUGUGAAAUCUCCGGGCUUAACUCGGAACGGUCAACUGAUACUGCGCGGCUAGAGUGCAGAAGGGGCAACUGGAAUUCUUGGUGUAGCGGUGAAAUGCGUAGAUAUCAAGAGGAACACCUGCGGCGAAGGCGGGUUGCUGGGCUGACACUGACGCUGAGGCGCGAAAGCUAGGGGAGCGAACGGG
RNAcentral lists this ribosomal RNA (254 nucleotides) under uncultured bacterium. Its description in RNAcentral is "partial 16S ribosomal RNA". It matches the Rfam family "Bacterial small subunit ribosomal RNA", at positions 524 to 776 of the family's 1533-position model. The record is from RNAcentral.